CUUGAAACACGGACCAAGGAGUUCAACGUGUACGCGAGUCAUUGGGUGUAAAAACCUAAAGGCGUAAUGAAAGUAAAAGGAUAAAAUUUAUUGUGCACAUUGUGUACAAUUUUUUAUCCGAGGGAAGAUGUAAAUUUGUAUUAUUAAUGAUAAUAGUUACGGCUAUUUAUUAUUAAUAAUAAUUAAAAUUUACCGCAUUCCCGGGGCGCUUGUUUCUUGCUUUGCAAGUCAAUGCGCACCUAGAGCGUACACGCUGAUACCCGAAAGAUGGUGAACUAUGCCUGGCCAGGACGAAGCCAGGGGAAACCCUGGUGGAGGUCCGCAGCGAUUCUGACGUGCAAAUCGAUCGUCGGAGCUGGGUAUAGGGGCGAAAGACCAAUCGAACCAUCUAGUAGCUGGUUCCCUCUGAAGUUUCCCUCAGGAUA
This 425-nucleotide ribosomal RNA is filed under the name Ploiaria hirticornis. RNAcentral's name for it is "eukaryotic LSU rRNA". It matches the Rfam family "Eukaryotic large subunit ribosomal RNA", at positions 653 to 980 of the family's 3401-position model. The record is from RNAcentral. Lineage: Eukaryota; Metazoa; Arthropoda; Insecta; Hemiptera; Reduviidae.